CUAACACUGAUUGGCAAUGGGUUGUUUUGGAUGGCCCAGUAGACCCAAUAUGGAUAGAAAACUUAAAUUCUGCAUUAGAUGACUCCAGAACAUUGUGCCUUGCUAAUAGUGAACGAAUCUACCUAUCGUCAGGAAUGAGAAUGGUAUUUGAAGUAGACAGCCUCUCUCAAGCCAGCCCUGCUACUGUUAGUAGAUGUGCCAUGGUUUAUGUGGACCCAGUUGAUCUAGGAUGGGAGCCAUAUGUCAAGACAUGGUUAGAAAGCAUUUCCGCAGUAAUAUCAGAAAAUGAGAUUGAGUAUCUUGGAAGUUUAUUUCAAUUAAGCAUGAAAAGAGGUCUAGAAUUUUUGGAUAAAAAUAAGAAAAUGCACAUAUUUCCUGUUCAUCAGAUGGGCAUUGCAAUGAAUCUUUGCAGAAUUCUUGGUUCAUUUAUUAACAUAAUCAAAGCAAGUGAAGGAUUACAAUUCAGUCUGAAAGGAAAAUAUGGUUCUGUGGCUUCUUCAUUUCUGAACCAGAUCAAUUCCUCUCAAUUUUUUGAAAGCACAGCAUUCUCUGGAAUAGAAUCAUCAAAGAAAA
Long non-coding RNA from Heteronotia binoei (common prickly gecko), 573 nucleotides. RefSeq lists it as uncharacterized. The record is from RefSeq and is a predicted model, not a curated record. The transcript is spliced from 3 exons. NCBI's taxonomy places the organism in Eukaryota, Metazoa, Chordata, Lepidosauria, Squamata, Gekkonidae.